This 324-nucleotide unclassified non-coding RNA is filed under the name soil metagenome. RNAcentral's name for it is "partial contains 5.8S ribosomal RNA, internal transcribed spacer 2, and large subunit ribosomal RNA". The stretch from base 1 to 121 matches the Rfam family "5.8S ribosomal RNA", at positions 35 to 154 of the family's 154-position model. The record is from RNAcentral.
GAUGAAGAACGCAGUGAAAUGCGAUAAGUAAUGCGAAUUGCAGAAUUUCCGUGAGUCAUCGAAUCUUUGAACGCACAUUGCGCCCUGUGGUAUUCCGCAGGGCAUGCCUGUUCGAGCGUCAUUUCAACCCUCAAGCUCUGCUUGGUGUUGGGCCCUGCCCGCUGCGGCCGGCCCUAAAGACAGUGGCGGUGCCGCCUGGCCCUGAGCGUAGUACAUCUCUCGCUCCAGUGCCCGGUGGUAGCCUGCCAGAACCCCAACUCUCGUGGUUGACCUCGGAUCAGGUAGGGAUACCCGCUGAACUUAAGCAUAUCAAUAAGCGGAGGA